This 395-nucleotide ribosomal RNA is filed under the name uncultured bacterium. RNAcentral's name for it is "bacterial SSU rRNA". It matches the Rfam family "Bacterial small subunit ribosomal RNA", at positions 505 to 898 of the family's 1533-position model. The record is from RNAcentral.
GUGUCAGCAGCCGCGGUAAUACGGAGGGGGCAAGCGUUGUUCGGAAUUACUGGGCGUAAAGCGCGCGUAGGCGGUUGGGUAAGUCAGAUGUGAAAUCCCUCAGCUCAACUGGGGAACUGCGUCUGAUACUGCUCGACUUGAGUCCGAUAGGGGAUGGCAGAAUUCCCGGUGUAGCGGUGGAAUGCGUAGAUAUCGGGAGGAAUACCGAUGGCGAAGGCGGCCAUCUGGGUCGGUACUGACGCUGAGGCGCGAAAGCUAGGGGAGCAAACAGGAUUAGAUACCCUGGUAGUCCUAGCUGUAAACGAUGACCACUUGGUGUUGCGGGUUUCUACCCCCGCAGUGCCGGAGCUAACGCGUUAAGUGGUCCGCCUGGGGAGUACGGUCGCAAGGCUGAA